This 433-nucleotide ribosomal RNA is filed under the name uncultured bacterium. RNAcentral's name for it is "partial 16S ribosomal RNA". It matches the Rfam family "Bacterial small subunit ribosomal RNA", at positions 29 to 507 of the family's 1533-position model. The record is from RNAcentral.
AACGAACGCUGGCGGCAUGCCUAACACAUGCAAGUCGAACGAGAACAUCGGGUCUAGUGGCGCACGGGGGCGUAACGCGUGGGAACCUGAACUUAGGUUCGGAAUAACUCCCCGAAAGGGGUGCUAAUACCGGAUAAUGUCUUCGGACCAAAGAUUUAUCGCCUUUGGAUGGGCCCGCGUUGGAUUAGCUAGUUGGUAGGGUAAAAGCCUACCAAGGCGACGAUCCAUAGCUGGUCUGAGAGGAUGAUCAGCCACACUGGGACUGAGACACGGCCCAGACUCCUACGGGAGGCAGCAGUGGGUAAUAUUGGACAAUGGGCGAAAGCCUGAUCCAGCAAUGCCGCGUGAGUGAUGAAGGCCUUAGGGUUGUAAAGCUCUUUUACCCGUGAUGAUAAUGGCAGUACCGGGAGAAUAAGCUCCGGCUAACUCCGUG